Molecule: long non-coding RNA, 5107 nt
Organism: Phocoena sinus (vaquita)
Lineage: Eukaryota; Metazoa; Chordata; Mammalia; Artiodactyla; Phocoenidae
Source: Ensembl
AUGCUGCGUCUGGCGUGAGGGGCCGCACGUCGCGUCGGGAGCGGAAUCCUAGAGCUUUAGCGGAGCAAGGGGGUGAGAGAAAGGGUGGCGUUCCGCACCGAUAGCGCCUCAGCGUUCAGGGUUGUCCCUGGGCGGUAUCCUCACUCUUCUGGACCCGGGUGCUGCUUCCGGCUGAGCUAGGAGGUCGCGCAGGCAGGAGGCCUCGGUCGGAAGGGAGGGAGCGGCAGCCUCCAGGGGACAACAUGCCAACUGCCAAGCAACUAGCCGACAUCGGCUACAAGACCUUCUCCACCUCCAUGAUGCUCCUCACUGUUUACGGGGGCUACCUCUGCAGUGCCCGAGUCUACCGCUAUUUCCAGCGGCGCAGCUCCCAGCGCCAGGCUGCAGAAGAACAGAAGACCUCAGGAGUCCCGUAGAACUGGGGGGCUUUUUUCCUUGAGCAGAGAGACCUGAGGCAUGUUGUGGAAAGACCUCACCUGCAAUCAUUUCUGAGUCAAGAGGAUCAGGGCCUUAAUGGUUUUCGAACUCUGCUGGGAAAAAGUGCCCAUGUUUUCUCUGGUACAGUCAGUUUGGAGAGGCUAUUGAAUCAUAACAGGAAUGGGAGGGUGAGGCACACCUACAGACAUUAAAUAUUUUGCCAUGUCUGUGUCUUGGUGUUUUUGUUUACUUGAACAGGGUAUGGACUACAGAGGUGGGGUCUUGACUACCAGUUUUCUAGUCACAGACUGGAUUUCCAUAUCUUGAGCUCUUAGCACCCAUGAAGUAGGGGAUAUACAGUUCUAGGAGUAGUAAUCUCUCCUGAUCUCAGAGAAGAGACUGUCCCAGCAUUUGUAUAAAUCUCCUGAGAAGACUCUGUAAAGACCAAAGCUCUUUUGUGGUCAGUGACCAUUCCUGGACCAAUUAAACGGUGUCCAGGUAAUGGAGUUCUCUGGCCAGCUUGGCCACAUGUGCACUUCUGAGCCAGGGAGGCAGGGGCCCUUGUUUAACAGCUGUUAAAAUUGCACAAAGUGGAGGUGGAUAGUUCUUAAAAUGUGAAGGGCUUUCGGGCAGCCUACAGUAAUGCAGUCCAUCUCCUAAGCAUAGUGGGUAUAGUAUUAGCAUCAGGGUUGAUUUCUCACUGCCACUGCACAAGAAUCUACCUGCAGGUCUGAUUGCAGAGUUGUGAAGAGGAUUUGAAAGAAAACGAUGCAUUCAAGGUAAAAUCCAACUAUGAAGAGAUAUUCUUGCCAUCAUUUUUUUUUUUUGGCCACGUGGCAUGUGGAAUCUUAGUUUGAACCCAUGCCCCCUGCAGCGGAAGCCCAGAGUCUUAACCACUAGACCGCCAGGGCAGUCCCACCACCAUUUCGUUUUGAGCUUUGAGGCUUGCUUGUUCACGUCAUUCUUGGUGAUCGCCCCAAAUAUCAACCCCUUUGGACACCUGUCCUCUCUCAUGUACAUACUGCUCUGACCUUUGUCCCCCAUUCCUUAACCUUUCACCUGAAGGCCCUCUUCCAUGAUUUAAAAACUCAGCAUUUCUAUAUCCUCAAUUCAUUUACUCCCAUCCUCUCUUGAUGUGUUAACCAAGGACUCCACUGCCUUCUCUGCUUUCUCAUUUGCCUGUACAGACAGUAAAGUGACCAUUCUCUCAGCUCCCCAGUGCCACUUUCAAACAGUGUAAAAUCAGUCCUUUUUGAGGAGCUUUCUUACAUUCUCAUUUUCACUGUAUUCGAGAACUUGAAUACUUCAAAUCUUUGGAUUCCUUUUUUUCCUUCCAAUCUUUCACCCCCUUUUUGAUCUAAACUGCUUCCCUGUCCAGCCUGUGCCCACAGCUGAGCACCCGAACUGCUGCCCUGCCUCCAGCCUUACCCUUCUCAACCCCAGACCUUGCUCCAUUAGUUAUCUAACUCACCCUCUUCCUUCUUCGCAGUACAUAAACUUGCUUAAGUGGUAGCUUCUAAGUUAGAAGAUUGGUCUGGGAUUAAAUGAGACAAUUCAUAUUAAUACUCCGGUACCUGACAAGCAAUAAAUGUCAGCUAUUAAUACCUGCUGCUGACCUCCACAUUUGUAUCUUCCAGGUUGACCUUUGGAGCUUCAGAUAUAUCCAGUUGCUUGCUAUAUCCACUCAAAUCCUAUAGUCCUCUCUAACCUGUCCACGACUAAUAGCAUUCCUUCAUAUCUCCCGGACCUACUUGUUUUUUUUCCCCUUAUUUUCACUAUCAUUUAAGUCAGGAUUAUGGGAGUCUCAUUACACUAUUCUCUGUACCCUACUCCCAACCAAGUAACUGUCUUAUUAAUUUCUACCAUUUAAACAUCCAUUCAGUCAGUUCUACCCUUGUCAUUUCUUGCUUAUACUUUUGCAGGAGCCUUUUAGGGGUCUUAGUUCCAAUCUUGACCUCAUAUUUGCCACAUUGCUGUCAGAGACAUCUAUUUGGAACAGAUUCGAUUAUGGCAUUCUGCUUUGGAUCCCCUCUGAAGCUCAACCAUAGACAAUAGGUUAAGAAUCCCUGACCUAUAAGGUCCAGUCCAGACUCCUUGGUGUGAUGCAUGAGGUCCUUAAGACUUGACCCACCUUAUGUUCCUACCUCACCCUUUGUGUUCUGUAAAAUCAAAUGACCUGUGUGGUUGCACGUUGUUUCUUGUCUCCAUGCCUGUUCUUUCUUUCUCUCUAAAUGGAACAUCCUUUCUAUCCUCUUUUUCCUAAAAGGUUUCUCUGACUCUUCACGCUCCCAUGCUGGGCCAAGUAUCUAUAGAAGACACCACUUUUUCUCUAAAAAAAUCUUUAAAAGCACAGGUAUCUAAGACAGUUUUGAAAAGAAACAAGAUGGGUUGGGGUUACCAGAUAUCAAGACAUAGUAGAAAGCUAAUGGUAAUCUAAAUGUUGUACUAGUGCAGGAGCAGACAAACAGAUCAAUGGCACAGAAUAAUAAACUCAGACACAGAUCAGUGUAUCUGUGAGAAAUUGAAUAUGAUAGAGGAUACAUCACAAACCCACGGGGAAAUUCAUAUUCUAUGUUGCUAUGGAUACAUAUGUGAUUAUAAAAGUAUAAAAAAUAGAUUGAAAGGACAAUAGUAGCCGUUACAUUGGGGAUGAGGUGAGGUGGAAGAGGGCAGAGGUUAUAGGGGGUCUUAAAUGGAAACUGUUUCCUCUACUCACAACACUUCUACCACCAAAUAUGUUUCUCCCACACCAAACAAUUCUCCAACUCUCCAGACACCAACUAUGUCCUGCAGUUCAGUUCUGCCACUAAGCUACGUGGAGUUAGGGCAGACACCACAGGUUAAGGGCUCAGUCAUUCACAAGUAGUGGGGUCCCCAGGUUACCCACACUUUGCCUGACAGCUACAGAUCCGUUCCCACGACCUCCUCCUCAGGUUUGCUGUGAUGGCUCACGUGACUGAACUCAGAGAAACUAUGUAUUAUUACUAGUUGUUUAUUAUAAAGGAUACCACUCGGGAACAACCCUGUAUCAGCAUCUCUAUGUGUUCCACCCAGAAGCUCUGAACCUCACUGUUUAGAGUUUUAAUGGAGGUUCCAUUAUAUAAGCAUGAUUAAAUCAUCAGCCAUUCACUGAUUAACCCAAUCCCCAGCACCUCUCCCCUCCCAGGAGAUCGGGAAUGUGGGGCUGAAAGUUCCAGCCUUCUAAUCUGCCUUGUCUUGUUCCUCUGGCAACCAGCUCCCAACCUGAAACUAUCUAGGGGCCCACCAAGAGUAACCUCAUUAGCAAAAAAAAAGAUAUAUCACUCUGGAGAUUCCCAAGGGUCUUAGAAGCUCUGUGCCAAGAACCUGGGACUAAGACCAAUUAUAUAUUUAUUAUAUCAAAAUGUCACAGGUCUCUAAUUUUUUAUUUCUUUUAAAAAUAAGAUUUGAAGUAAGACAAAAUGUUAGAGGUAUUAAUUUGGGGUAUUGCAAAUAUGAGAGCAUACAGCAUUCUUAAUGUUUUUCUCUCUUUUUCCAAUUUCUCAAAAAGUUGAGGGGAGAAAAAAUACUUUUGAUAGCUUCCUAUUAUUUACUACAGUAGUUCUCAGCAGAAGUGGCACCCCACACACACAACAGAGGUGAAAGUGUUUUGAUUGUCACAAUGAUUGGGAAGCAUCUCUGGCGUCUGGUAGGUGGAGGCCAAGGAUGCCAGAAUUCUCACAAUGUCUGGGAUAGUCUUACACAACAUACUGUCCCAAGUCCUGCACAACUAUCAAAUGUCCCUAUAAAUAUUCAAGUGAAAAAAUUUAUAAUUAGCUGAGCCUAUAACCUCUUUUACCUAUAAAUAUGAAGUAUUUUUUUGUACAGUUUUUAGUGUACUCUGAAUCCUCUAGGCAUGCAAUUACUGUAUAAAUGGAGGGGAGAUUGUAGUGUAGUUUAUUUAGAACUUUUGUUCACCAUUUCAAAAAACCAUGCCAUUGACGGCAGUCUGUUCCUGGCAUUUGAAUCUCUGACACAACACGAUAGUAUCAGUCUGCAUUUGUAGCCACUGUAUUCAUGGUGAAUGUACAGAAGUGCAAGCAUCUGAGUGCUAGUAUAACUAUGCCCAAUAUUUAUAUGUGGAAAUAAUUUUAUUAUAAUUCUUAAAACAUAUCCUUUAUAUUACUAUUAGAACAUUAUGGUGAUUUUUAAAAAUUAUGUGUACAGUAGAUAAGUUAAAUGUUAAUUGCAUUUAAGGAUAGUAAAGGGAGUGUUACAAAUAUUUGUAACCACCUGGUUUAGAAAUAAUCCAUUCAUAUUUGGUCAGCUUUUGCUAUGGUGUUGAGGUGAUGGUUAAUUUUGUUUCAACUUGGCUAGGCUAUGGUGCCCAGUUGUUUCGUCAAACAUCAGUCUGCAUGUUGCUUUGAAGGUAUUUUUUAGGUGUAAUUAACAUAUCAGCCAACUUGGAGUAAAGCACAUUGUCCUCCAUAAUAUGGAUGGGCCUCACCCAAUCAGUUGAGGCCUUAAAAGCAAAGACAGAGUUCACAAAGAAGGAAUUCGGCAUUAAGACUGUAACAUAGAACCCCUACCUGAGUUUCCAGCCUGUGGAUCUUGGACUGCAACAACUCUUCACUGCAUUUUCAGCCUGCCGGCCUGCUCUAAAUUUCAGACCUCCCAGUCCCUACAACUGUGUUAGCCAAUUCCCUGAAAUAAAUCAGUCUCUCUUGCCCUC